AAUCAAAAACCACAGAGCUCUUGCUGUAAUAAAAUUAAUUGUGAGCUCUAUUUUGGUGAAUUGGGGUGCCUGGGAAGUCAGCAUACCUUGUGCAGCAGAAGCAGGCACAAGGCUGCUCUGUCAAGGAGAACAAAGUUUUCUUCAAAAAUAUCAGAUGUUGGAGAAUGUAUUUCCAGCUGUAAUGCUUUUCACACAUGAACUGCAUGUUUUAGGGUUUUUUUCUGCUGAUAAAGUGAUACAGAUCAAUUAUAAUUAUUUUGUGAAGAAAGAUACUCUUCCUAGUAAGUCAGAUUUCUAAAGUUCAGGUUUUUUUGAGGAUAGCUGAUGCAGGUGUAGUGCGAGAGGUACCAUCAGCACUCAGAUCUCUGGUGCACUGCUUGCCUGCAGUGCUGUUGUCCUCUGGAGAAUAAAAAUGAGAAAUUGAAUGAAAACAAUUACUUCUAGUAUUUUAAAUUACAUUUAGCAUUCUCUCUGUGUUUCUUCUUGUGCUCAUGUGAACAUGCUUUCCCUCAAAAAUGCACUUACCAAUAAAGUGCAUGUCAACAGUAUGGGAAAUUUAUACUCCAUUCCUGCAAGUAAAUACACGUACUGAGAACAUAUUUUCAGUUGUGCCCUGUAAAUGACCUUGCUGGAGACUGUUCGUGCAAUCCUACGCACCAGGAGCAGCUGUUCCACCCAACUGGCUGCUGCCAAGAAGGUGUAGUGGUCUCAAGUUUUGACAGGCAAGAAGCUGAAAUCCUAGGAAAAUUAGUUCUUUUAAAUUAUUAUUUAGGAUAUAACUAAAUAUCCAUUGGUAGAAAUCUUUAGUCAUCAACUUUUUACAGAUUUUUGGAGUACUCUGUUUUUAUGAACUACAGCCAAGUUAUGUGGUUAUCACCCUGCUUAAGGGUAGUCUGACUUCAUGAACCUUCUACACUUACCAGCCAGGUUGACACAUCUCUUAGGUACUUCACUGCCCUCAUUGCAGAGACACUCCCAGGUAACUGGGUGAAAAAUUAGUUCCUCCAUUAUGUUUAAAUACAUCAGCAAGGUGAAAACUAGAACAAGAUGUUCACAUCUUUAACCAAAAAUUGUCAAAGACAAUUGAGAAACUGUGAAAUAAAGAUAUUAUUUCUUUUCUUACAGCAUUAUUACAACAUACAAUGCAGUCAGGAAACUAUUUAAUUUUGUCCUUUCCUCAUGACGAUGAUGAUAAUUGCUUCUAUUGGAACUUUGGAGAAGAAUAACUAAUCAAAAAUUAAAAUGAAGGCAGGAGGGAAAUAGAAAAAUACAAACAAAUCAAAAACCCAACCCCAAUCACCAGACUUUACAGGAUCCUAAAAUUCAGUGGUGACUAGGGAAGUUGCCUGGGAUCCAUUGUGGACAACACUGCAAACAUGGACUGGCUGGACGUACUAUAUAGCUACAGAUAAAAACAAACAAGAUGUUGGGGUACAUGUGGAAUGAGAUGAGGAGAAAUACAGAAAAUGAAACCAGGAUGUGUCAGCUGGGUGGUGCUUUCUUUCAUGUGCUUGUUGCAUGUCACACCUCGCUUCCAGAAAAUGACCUCCAAAGGACCAGAAAAAGAAGCAUCAAUGGUACAACCACAUUAUUGACACAGCCUUGGGACGAAGGGCCCGAUGUGGCUGCUGCUGCUUGGCACUGCACAGAGAAGUAACCAGACACACUUUGCUCCUUUCUAUGCAACAGAUAUUGCAAGGUAAAAGUCAAUAAUAUGUGAGUGGCCAACAGUUCAAGGAUGCAUCUCAUAGUCCAGCAACACACUCCUGCACAUAGGGUUAUUUGAAUGCACAAGGUUAAAAUUGACAUCCUGCACUUCAGUACUUACAAACAUCACCCCACUGACCACCAAUAUCACAAAACAGCAAGGAAAAAAUACUGAGGAAAAAAACUAAAAAAAAAUUUAGAAGUUUACCAGAAAAAUUCAGGAAACUGAAAGCUUUGAUUAACUUUGAUAACAGAUCAUCUGUAAGUGAUCGCAUAAAAACGUAGGGGAACUUUUCACUACACUUUUCUUAUUUCCAGAUUUUACAAUCUUUCCUCUUCCUCCAGGAUAGAUUGUUAAAUUUUUAAAAUUCCAUACAGGUAUUAACUAAUACCAACAGGAAUUAUAAACAAAUAGCUGAAAAUGAUUCUUCAGUGCACAGAAUAAGUGGAGAUGCUGGCAUCUCAGAGCUAUCCUAAGGUAACCUACAUGAUUUCUACCUUUGCCCUGUUUCCCAAAAGUUAAUUAAAAAAAUCUGCAAGUUUAUCUUCCAUGAAAGCUUCUUCUCAAUGUUUUGAACAACUGUACUUUCUGUCACACUGUAUCCACAGGAUGAUGUUAUUUACAUUCGUUUUUGGUUUCAGUUUUUCACUGACUUUGUAGCACUGUUUUGCUGGAUUUUGGCACCUGUACCAUCCGUGUUUGGAAUAUUGUUAAGAAAAGACCAGCACAGUUGCUUAUGUAAUAUACUAAUAUGACACAUCUGGGUACAAAGGCAUGCAAAAUUCACUGUGAACAUGAAAAGGUCUGCCUGUGCUCCUCCAUUGUGGCAAGUGGAAUGCAGAAACUUUCCCUCUUCCCAUGCACAAUAAGAACUGAUAGGCACUUGCAGCACCUACCUAAAUGAAAGUCAUAGGCAGGCCUGAAAACUGCAGGAUUAUGGAGAAUUUUCUUCAGUUUUCCGGCUUAAAACCAGAUGCCCAGAUUUAAAAAUAUUAAUAUGACUUUUGAUAAGAGACUUAAAUAUCAGAGCUCAAGUCAGAUUCAGUCUUGCUACAUUGCUGUCUUUUUUUAAAUGCAAAUUUAAGCUGUGGGUUGGUUUCUUUUAUUUUAUAGAUAUAAUUGCUUUUCACAAAAAAGGAAAAAUGAGAAUUUUACAUGAAGGAACCAUCUUUUAUGAGAAAUGGAAUUUAAUAGCUAUGACCACUAUAUACGUUAUGCUUACAUGAAAAGAAAGAUGAGGCUUGAUGUACAAGCCCCCUGCAAAUAAGGCCAUCAUACAUCUGAAAACAUUAGGAAUCAUCAGGCUUGUUUUUAAGAAAGCAGACUUUUGGAGCAGUGAUUCUGAAGUUCUCAGUCAUCCAGGGAAUAUUUGCCACUAUCAGAAUAGAGCUACCCAUCUUUUUAGAAGGUGUCACAUCGAACUAUACAUUAGACAGAUCCUAAUAUCUCCAUCUUAAAUCAACAGCAGUUGUAUUUGUCAGGAGUAACCACUGAGCUGUGAACAGACUUAUUUUUAUAAGCAUAACAGAUUUAACUUUUGUCACCUUUAAUCAAUCUCAGAUACAAAAGCUCCUUAAGUACAUCGUAUUUACCGUGACUUACCUCGCAUCUGUAAACUAAGUGAAAAACCCUAGAAAAAUACAAAUUGUGCUUCAAAUGGUUUGAAGUUGAGAAAGUGUAUGGCAGUGAACUAAUUUGAGAAGCCAAAUGUAUGCAGGUUUAAAACAAUUCCUUUUCCAUAACGAGAAGUAGAGGAGAACUUUCUGUCCAAGUUGCUAAUGGAGACAAUUUAAAAUAUUCCUUUCUUACAGUAAGAGUGGUGGAAACUACUUAGCUCUUUUCAUUUCCCAUGGGAUGAAUAUUGACUGAGUAAUUACAGCUAUAAUCUCUUCAGUUUCUUUACAAAAGUUUCCUGCAGAAUUAUGUCAUUAAAACAGAGCUGACUGUAUGUAACAUGCCUAUAAUUCAAUUGUGCUUAAUGGCUCCGACCUACUUAAUUUUACCCAUUUUCCUUUGUAUUUGGAAUUUCAUGAAUGCUUUGUUAUAGAAGUUUAUGAAAUAGAUGACAAACUGAACAUAAAAUUUUCAUUUAUCUAUAUAUAAAGGUACUGACUUGAUGGUAUAACCACAGGAAACAUCCAGAUGCCUAUGAAGAAUCAAAAACCUUUUCGAGAAAAAAACCCCUAUCUUGAAAUUUAAGUUCUGUCUUAAGCACUGUGAAAAAGUGUAUUUUUAAAAUCUGUGUCUGAAGCAUAUUUGCUCCUCGCUGCCCUCAGUCCAAACAAACGAGCCAAUUUUAUACAUAUUUACAAUAUUUAAUAAAGAUAUACAAAUCAUUGAAAGUUUUCAUAUAAAUGUUGCAGCACUUAAAAUUAAGGAGAAGCAUUUAAUUUGCUCUCAGCUCAGACAGUAAAAUUAAAUGGAAACAUAACAGCCUUCUGCAGAAAGAAAGCAUUAAACCACUUCUCUCUGUGGGGAAAGGCAGUAUCUCAAUAUGAUUAACAAACCCAAAUUUAAUUCAAGCAGUUACUAACUCUACUAAUUUAAAUGCUUAAACAUUUGCUGCCUGACUGAUAAAUAAUCAGCUUCUUUUGGAUUCUGCAUUAGUAUGUUUUACCAAACCCUUGAAAGUUAUUCAAUAAGGUUUUCUAUAAAUUCUUUGGCUACAUACAUUAAGGAAGUUAAACACAUGUGAAAUCUACCAACUAUAAGUACCUGAAAAAUAGUACACAUUUACAGAUUAUACAUGGAUCAGAGUGCAAAUAGCAUGAGAGAAUUGUUGUCAAGGACUAAGUUACUUACAACAUCCAUUUUUACAUCCCAAACAGAAGGCUGUGGACAAAAAAAAAUUGCAAUUCUUAGAUUUAGAAAUCUCUUUGAAGAGCUUCUUGAUCACCUAAAAAUGCCUCAAACUGAACCACUGCUUCAUGUAUUAAUGUUACCACUUUUAAUUAUAACCUGCAGUAUCUGCUUCCUCUUUUUUUUUUCUUUUGAAGAAUAUAGAAGUUCAGAAACUGCUCAUAUAAAGAACAGAAAUACUGGUUGUAUUCCCAUAUGGAAUUAUAAUGACUUUAGAUUCUUUUAUGUCUUCUGAAGAUAUUUUUGUAAGCAAAAUAUGAAAGCAGAAAUCCAUGUCAGUCCUCCAAAAGAGCUUUGGGUUAUAGUGAUUUUAUGGUGAAAAUGUUUAAUUUUCUUCUUGCAGCAUUUCUUCUAUUUCUUUAUCCCAGUUUUCA
This is a long non-coding RNA of Passer domesticus (house sparrow), 4941 nucleotides long. RefSeq lists it as uncharacterized. NCBI's taxonomy places the organism in Eukaryota, Metazoa, Chordata, Aves, Passeriformes, Passeridae. The record is from RefSeq and is a predicted model, not a curated record. The transcript has 3 exons.